Molecule: ribosomal RNA, 465 nt
Filed under: uncultured bacterium
Lineage: Bacteria
Description: bacterial SSU rRNA
Rfam family: Bacterial small subunit ribosomal RNA
Source: RNAcentral
CCUACGGGGCGCAGCAGUGGGGAAUAUUGCACAAUGGGCGCAAGCCUGAUGCAGCCAUGCCGCGUGUAUGAAGAAGGCCUUCGGGUUGUAAAGUACUUUCAGCGGGGAGGAAGGUGUUGUGGUUAAUAACCACAGCAAUUGGCGUUACCCGCAGAAGAAGCACCGGCUAACACCGUGCCAGCAGCCGCGGUAAUACGGAGGGUGCAAGCGUUAAUCGGAAUCACUGGGCGUAAAGCGCACGCAGGCGGUCUGUCAAGUCGGAUGUGAAAUCCCCGGGCUCAACCUGGGAACUGCAUUCGAAACUGGCAGGCUAGAGUCUUGUAGUGGGGGGUAGAAUUCCAGGUGUAGCGGUGAAAUGCGUAGAGAUCUGGAGGAAUACCGGUGGCGAAGGCGGCCCCCUGGACAAAGACUGACGCUCAGGUGCGAAAGCGUGGGGAGCAAACAGGAUUAGAUACCCUUGUAGUC